UGCUAGACGUUGGCGAGCUUGCUCGUCAGUGUCGCAGNUAACGCGUUAAGCACCCCNCCCUGGGGAGUACGGCCGCAAGNUUGAAACUCAAAGGAAUUGACGGGGGCCCGCACAAGCGGUGGAGCAUGUGGUUCAAUUCGACGCAACGCGAAGAACCUUACCAGCCCCUUGACAUGUGACUCGCCCGGGAGNCAGAGACGCUCCCUUCGGUUCGGCCCGGAGUCAACACAGGUGCUGCAUGGCUGUCGUCAGCUCGUGUCGUGAGAUGUUGGGUUAAGUCCCGCAACGAGCGCAACCCUCGUCUCCAGUUGCCAUCAGGUUAUGCUGGGCACUUUGGAGAAACUGCCGGUGACAAGCCGGAGGAAGGUGGGGAUGACGUCAAGUCCUCAUGGCCCUUACGGGCUGGGCUACACACGUGCUACAAUGGCGGUGACAAUGGGAUGCGAUGGCGCGAGCCGGAGCCGAUCCUAAAAAGCCGUCUCAGUUCGGAUUGCACUCUGCAACUCGAGUGCAUGAAGUUGGAAUCGCUAGUAAUCGAGGAUCAGCAUGCCUCGGUGAAUACGUUCCCGGGCCUUGUACACACCGCCCGUCACGCCAUGGGAGUUGGUUCUACCCGAAGAUGGUGCGCUAACCGCCAAGGAGGCAGCCAGCCACGGUAGGAUCNAUGACUGGGGCGAAGUCGUAACCAAGGUACC
RNAcentral lists this ribosomal RNA (695 nucleotides) under uncultured bacterium. Its description in RNAcentral is "bacterial SSU rRNA". It matches the Rfam family "Bacterial small subunit ribosomal RNA", at positions 814 to 1500 of the family's 1533-position model. The record is from RNAcentral.